CUUCAACGAGCCCAGCCACAGCGGACGCUCGGGAUCCCGGCCCUGCCCGUACGUGGCCAGCAGCGCCUGCGCCUC
This 75-nucleotide antisense RNA is filed under the name Micromonospora halophytica. RNAcentral describes it as "ASpks TB sRNA". It matches the Rfam family "ASpks TB sRNA". Lineage: Bacteria; Bacillati; Actinomycetota; Actinomycetes; Micromonosporales; Micromonosporaceae. The record is from Rfam by way of RNAcentral.